This 440-nucleotide ribosomal RNA is filed under the name uncultured bacterium. RNAcentral's name for it is "partial 16S ribosomal RNA". It matches the Rfam family "Bacterial small subunit ribosomal RNA", at positions 338 to 795 of the family's 1533-position model. The record is from RNAcentral.
CCUACGGGUGGCAGCAGUGGGGGAUCUUUCACAAUGGGGGAAACCCUGAUGCAGCGACGCCGCGUGUGGGAAGACGGUCCUCUGGAUUGUAAACCACUGUCCCCAGGGACGAAGCUGACGGUACCUGGGGAGGAGACUCCGGCUAACUACGUGCCAGCAGCCGCGGUAAUACGUAGGGAGCAAGCGUUGUCCGGAAUUACUGGGGGUAAAGGGAGCGUAGGCGGGAUGGCAAGUUUGGUGUUAAAUCUACCGGCUCAACUGGGAGUCGCACAGAACACUGCUAUUCUUGAGUGAAGUAGAGGCAGGCGGAAUUCCUAGUGUAGCGGUGAAAUGCGUAGAUAUUAGGAGGAACACCAGUGGCGAAGGCGGCCUGCUGGGCUUUUACUGACGCUGAGGCUCGAAAGUGUGGGGAGCAAACAGGAUUAGAUACCCGAGUAGUC